AACGAACGCUGGCGGCAUGCCUAACACAUGCAAGUCGAACGAGCCCUUCGGGUCUAGUGGCGCACGGGUGCGUAACGCGUGGGAACCUGCCCUUAGGUUCGGACUAACUCCCCGAAAGGGGUGCUAAUACCGGAUAAUGUCUUCGGACCAAAGAUUUAUCGCCUUUGGUUGGGCCCGCGUUGGAUUAGCUUGUUGGUAGGGUAAAAGCCUACCAAGGCGACGAUCCAUAGCUGGUCUGAGAGGAUGAUCAGCCACACUGGGACUGAGACACGGCCCAGACUCCUACGGGAGGCAGCAGUGGGGAAUAGUGGACAAUGGGCGGAAGCCUGAUCCAGCAAUGCCGCGUGAGUGAUGAAGGCCUUAGGGUUGUAAUGCGCUUUUACCCGUGAUGAUAAUGACAGUACCGGGAGAAUAAGCUCCGGCUAACUCCGUG
This 433-nucleotide ribosomal RNA is filed under the name uncultured bacterium. RNAcentral's name for it is "partial 16S ribosomal RNA". It matches the Rfam family "Bacterial small subunit ribosomal RNA", at positions 29 to 507 of the family's 1533-position model. The record is from RNAcentral.